GACGAACGCUGGCGGCGUGCUUAACACAUGCAAGUCGAACGGAAAGGCCCUGCUUUUGUGGGGUGCUCGAGUGGCGAACGGGUGAGUAACACGUGAGUAACCUGCCCUUGACUUUGGGAUAACUUCAGGAAACUGGGGCUAAUACCGGAUAGGAGCUCCUGCUGCAUGGUGGGGGUUGGAAAGUUUCGGCGGUUGGGGCUGGAUUCGGGGGUUAGCAGCUUGUUGGUGGGGUAGUGGCUUACCAAGGCUUUGACGGGUAGCCGGCCUGGGAGGGUGACCGGGCACAUUGGGCCUGAGAGACGGAGCAGACUCCAACGGUACGCAGCAGGGGGGAAUAUUGCACAGUGGGCGGGAGCCUGAUGCGACAGCGCCGGGUUCGUGAUGACGUCUUACGAGUUGAAAACAGAUUUCGACGUAGAUGAAGCGGGAUCGACGGUAAUGGGUAAGAAAGCACCGGCUAACUACGUG
This 468-nucleotide ribosomal RNA is filed under the name uncultured bacterium. RNAcentral describes it as "partial 16S ribosomal RNA". It matches the Rfam family "Bacterial small subunit ribosomal RNA", at positions 28 to 507 of the family's 1533-position model. The record is from RNAcentral.